AUUGAACGCUGGCGGCAUGCCUUACACAUGCAAGUCGAACGGAUUCAAGGGGCUUGCUCCUUGAGUUAGUGGCGAACGGGUGAGUAAAGCAUCGGAACGUACCCAGUAGUGGGGGAUAACGUAGCGAAAGUUACGCUAAUACCGCAUACGACCUGAGGGUGAAAGCAGGGGAUCGCAAGACCUUGCGCUAUUGGAGCGGCCGAUGUCGGAUUAGCUAGUUGGUAGGGUAAAAGCCUACCAAGGCGACGAUCCGUAGCUGGUCUGAGAGGACGACCAGCCACACUGGGACUGAGACACGGCCCAGACUCCUACGGGAGGCAGCAGUGGGGAAUUUUGGACAAUGGGCGAAAGCCUGAUCCAGCCAUGCCGCGUGAGUGAAGAAGGC
This 385-nucleotide ribosomal RNA is filed under the name uncultured bacterium. Its description in RNAcentral is "bacterial SSU rRNA". It matches the Rfam family "Bacterial small subunit ribosomal RNA", at positions 30 to 415 of the family's 1533-position model. The record is from RNAcentral.